RNAcentral lists this ribosomal RNA (564 nucleotides) under uncultured crenarchaeote. RNAcentral's name for it is "bacterial SSU rRNA". It matches the Rfam family "Archaeal small subunit ribosomal RNA", at positions 908 to 1472 of the family's 1478-position model. The record is from RNAcentral. Lineage: Archaea; Thermoproteati; Thermoproteota.
GGAGUCACGCCAGAAAUCUUACCCGGAGAGACAGCAGAAUGAAGGUCAAGCUGAAGACUUUACCAGACAAGCUGAGAGGUGGUGCAUGGCCGUCGCCAGCUCGUGCCGUGAGAUGUCCUGUUAAGUCAGGUAACGAGCGAGAUCCCUGCCUCUAGUUGCCACCAUUACUCUCAGGAGUAGUGGGGCGAAUUAGCGGGACCGCCGCAGUUAAUGCGGAGGAAGGAAGGGGCCACGGCAGGUCAGUAUGCCCCGAAACUCUGGGGCCACACGCGGGCUGCAAUGGUAACGACAAUUGGUUUCGAAUCCGAAAGGAUGAGGUAAUCCUCAAACGUUACCACAGUUAUGACUGAGGGCUGCAACUCGCCCUCACGAAUAUGGAAUCCCUAGUAACUGCGUGUCAUUAUCGCGCGGUGAAUACGUCCCUGCUCCUUGCACACACCGCCCGUCGUUUCAUUGAAGUGAGCUUUUAGCGAGGUGACGUCUAAUUGGCGUUAUCGAACUUGAGGUUCGUGACAAGGGAAAAGUCGUAACAAGGUGACCGUAGGGGAACCUGCGGUCGGAUCA